AAGAUACAGAUAUGUUGUAGGACAGCUGCAUUUGAAGUGAACAUUUAACCUACAUAGCAGUCAAAACAAACAGACAUCUAUUAGCAUACAAAUGUGUGCAAAUGAUCUUUUCAGACCUUCUCAGAAAUUAAUCAAGUCCACGGAAUGGAUAUAGACAAAAAGAGAAUUCAAGGACUAGCAGAGGUAGAGAGGCGAGGCAGGGGGGAGGACAUCAUCCUGCUAUUUUGACAGUCCCUGAAGGACAAUACAGAAGAGGGAUUUGCUCUUAUUCCUUCCCUUUUCUAUUUCUGUAAUAAAAUUAGCAAGUGUAGUAAUAUCCUUGCUUUACUUUACUAGGACUGGAGACCACAGCAGCGAUUCUGCUCUUGCCCUACCUCUUCAAUGAGGACCCGAGUGGCCUUUAUGUCCGUGACAAGAUUUCACCGCUCUUCACUCCUUUACUGCACAUCGGCGGAAAUCCAUUUCACCACGAGAGUGAAAUCCCGCUGGCCUUUGAUGGGGAGAACAUUCACACCCUCGAGGACGUCCCCAUGGGGCUCUGCUAGGGCUGUAUUUUUUAUUUUCCAUAAAAUUUCCCAAAAAUGUCAGAAAAACACUUAUGUUGUUAAGUUACUGUGUUCUGGGGAGAAGGGAAGUUGGGGUGAAGUUACCAGGGCCGGUUAUAAAGAUGGCAAACUUCCUAACAUAACUAAGUGGAUACAAUAUACACACUAAAGCUGAAAAAUCUGUAUUUAGCAUCAAGUCUACAAUAUUGUUAGUUUACCUAUGAUUAAUUUUUAAUGUAUGUUGUUUUUAUUGUACAUCAUUAUUUAUAUAUAUAUUUUUAAAUGUCAUGAAAAUAACUAUACAAAGUAAAUGUAUUAUUUAUUGCAGAACAUGUCUGCAGAAAUGUUGCAAUUUUGUAAUGUGUGUUGUUUGGUAAAUUGUUUUGUAAAUAUUAAUUCACAUUUGUGGUGCCACUAAAAAAACAAUGAAUUAUUUAAAU
This is a non-coding RNA of Oncorhynchus mykiss (rainbow trout), 985 nucleotides long. NCBI's taxonomy places the organism in Eukaryota, Metazoa, Chordata, Actinopteri, Salmoniformes, Salmonidae. The record is from RefSeq and is a predicted model, not a curated record.